RNAcentral lists this ribosomal RNA (501 nucleotides) under uncultured bacterium. Its description in RNAcentral is "partial 16S ribosomal RNA". It matches the Rfam family "Bacterial small subunit ribosomal RNA", at positions 29 to 523 of the family's 1533-position model. The record is from RNAcentral.
AUUGAACGCUGGCGGCAUGCCUUACACAUGCAAGUCGAACGGCAGCACGGGUGCUUGCACCUGGUGGCGAGUGGCGAACGGGUGAGUAAUACAUCGGAACGUACCUUAUCGUGGGGGAUAACGCAGCGAAAGCUGUGCUAAUACCGCAUACGCCCUGAGGGGGAAAGCGGGGGAUCGAAAGACCUCGCGCGAUUAGAGCGGCCGAUGCCUGAUUAGCUUGUUGGUGGGGUAAAAGCCCACCAAGGCGACGAUCAGUAGCUGGUCUGAGAGGACGAUCAGCCACACGGGGACUAAGACACGGCCCAGAAUCCUACGGGAGGCAGCAGUGGGGAAUUUUGGACAACGGGGGCAACCCUGAUCCAGCAAUGCCGCGUGAGUGAAGAAGGCCUUCGGGUUGUAAAGCUCUUUUGUCAGGGAAGAAACACCGGCUCUAACACAGUCCGGGAAUGACGGUACCUGAAGAAUAAGCACCGGCUAACUACGUGCCAGCAGCCGCCGUAA